UACGUAGGGUGCAAGCGUUAAUCGGAAUUACUGGGCGUAAAGCGUGCGCAGGCGGUUUUGUAAGUUUGUCGUGAAAUCCCCGGACUCAACCUGGGAAUUGCGAUGAAGACUGCAAGGCUAGAAUCUGGCAGAGGGGGGUAGAAUUCCACGUGUAGCAGUGAAAUGCGUAGAGAUGUGGAGGAACACCGAUGGCGAAGGCAGCCCCCUGGGUCAAGAUUGACGCUCAUGCACGAAAGCGUGGGGAGCAAACAGG
This 253-nucleotide ribosomal RNA is filed under the name uncultured bacterium. RNAcentral describes it as "partial 16S ribosomal RNA". It matches the Rfam family "Bacterial small subunit ribosomal RNA", at positions 524 to 776 of the family's 1533-position model. The record is from RNAcentral.